AUUGAACGCUGGCGGCAUGCUUUACACAUGCCAGUCGAACGGUAACAGGCCUUCGGGUGCUGACGAGUGGCGAACGGGUGCGUAAUGCAUCGGAACGUACCCAGAGGUGGGGGAUAACGCAGCGAAAGCUGUGCUAAUACCGCAUGUGAUCUGAGGAUGAAAGCGGGGGACCGAGCAGCAAUGUUUGGCCUCGCGCCUUUGGAGCGGCCGAUGUCGGAUUAGCUAGUUGGUGGGGUAAAGGCCUACCAAGGCGACGAUCCGUAGCUGGUCUGAGAGGACGACCAGCCACACUGGGACUGAGCCACGGCCCAGACUCCUACGGGAGGCAGCAGUGGGGAAUUUUGGACAAUGGGCGCAAGCCUGAUCCAGCAAUGCCGCGUGCGGGAAGAAGGCCUUCGGGUUGUAAACCGCUUUUGGCAGGAACGAAACGGUGUCCGCUAAUACCGGGCGCUAAUGACGGUACCUGCAGAAUAAGCACCGGCUAACUACGUG
RNAcentral lists this ribosomal RNA (492 nucleotides) under uncultured bacterium. RNAcentral describes it as "partial 16S ribosomal RNA". It matches the Rfam family "Bacterial small subunit ribosomal RNA", at positions 29 to 507 of the family's 1533-position model. The record is from RNAcentral.